CACACCCGCCCCGUCACACCAUGGGGAGCGAGUUCUGCCAGAAGUAGUUAGCCUAACCGCAAGGAGGGGCGAUUAUCACGGCAGGGUUCGUGACUGGGGUG
This 101-nucleotide ribosomal RNA is filed under the name uncultured bacterium. RNAcentral's name for it is "partial 16S ribosomal RNA". The record is from RNAcentral.